GACGAACGCUGGCGGCGUGCCUAAUACAUGCAAGUAGAACGCUGAAACUUGGUGCUUGCACCGAGCGGAUGAGUUGCGAACGGGUGAGUAACGCGUAGGUAACCUGCCUGGUAGCGGGGGAUAACUAUUGGAAACGAUAGCUAAUACCGCAUAAGAGUAGAUGUUGCAUGACAUUUGCUUAAAAGGUGCAAUUGCACCACUACCAGAUGGACCUGCGUUGUAUUAGCUAGUUGGUGGGGUAACGGCUCACCAAGGCGACGAUACAUAGCCGACCUGAGAGGGUGAUCGGCCACACUGGGACUGAGACACGGCCCAGACUCCUACGGGAGGCAGCAGUAGGGAAUCUUCGGCAAUGGACGGAAGUCUGACCGAGCAACGCCGCGUGAGUGAAGAAGGUUUUCGGAUCGUAAAGCUCUGUUGUAAGAGAAGAACGGGUGUGAGAGUGGAAAGUUCACACUGUGACGGUAUCUUACCAGAAAGGGACGGCUAACUACGUG
Molecule: ribosomal RNA, 497 nt
Filed under: uncultured bacterium
Lineage: Bacteria
Description: partial 16S ribosomal RNA
Rfam family: Bacterial small subunit ribosomal RNA
Source: RNAcentral